UACAGAGGUGGCAAGCGUUGUUCGGAAUUACUGGGCGUAAAGGGCGCGUAGGCGGUCUUUUAAGUCUUGUGUGAAAUCCCUCGGCUCAACUGAGGAACUGCACGGGAUACUGGAAGACUUGAGUUCGGGAGAGGGAAGCGGAAUUCCGGGUGUAGCGGUGAAAUGCGUAGAUAUCCGGAGGAACACCAGUGGCGAAGGCGACUUUCUGGUCUGUAACUGACACUGAGGCGCGAAAGCGUGGGGAGCGAACAGG
Molecule: ribosomal RNA, 253 nt
Filed under: uncultured bacterium
Lineage: Bacteria
Description: partial 16S ribosomal RNA
Rfam family: Bacterial small subunit ribosomal RNA
Source: RNAcentral